GAUGAACGCUGGCGGCGUGCCUAAUACAUGCAAGUCGAGCGAACGGACGAGAAGCUUGCUUCUCUGAUGUUAGCGGCGGACGGGUGAGUAACACGUGGAUAACCUACCUAUAAGACUGGGAUAACUUCGGGAAACCGGCGCUAAUACCGGAUGAUAUUUUGAACCGCAUGGUUCAAAAGUGAAAGACGGUCUUGCUGUCACUUAUAGAUGGAUCCGCGCUGCAUUAGCUAGUUGGUACGGUAACGGCUUACCAAGGCAACGAUGCAUAGCCGACCUGAGAGGGGGAUCGGCCACACUGGAACGGAGACACGGACCAGACGCCUACGGGAGGCAGCAGUAGGGAAUGUGCCGCAAUGGGCGAAAGCCUGACGGAGCAACGCCGCGUGAGUGAUGAAGGUCUUCGGAUCGUAAAACUCGGUUAUUAGGGAAGAACAGAUGUGUAAGUAACUGUGCACAGCGUGACGGUACCUAAUCAGAAAGCCACGGCUAACUACGUG
RNAcentral lists this ribosomal RNA (497 nucleotides) under uncultured bacterium. Its description in RNAcentral is "partial 16S ribosomal RNA". It matches the Rfam family "Bacterial small subunit ribosomal RNA", at positions 28 to 507 of the family's 1533-position model. The record is from RNAcentral.